GAUGAACGCUAGCGGGAGGCCUAACACAUGCAAGCCGAGCGGUAUGCAUUCUUAGCUUGCUAAGAAUGCAGAGAGCGGCGCACGGGUGCGUAACAUGUGUGCAACUUGCCUUUAUCAGGGGGAUAGCCUUUAGAAAUGAAGAUUAAUACCCCAUAAUAUAUUGAUUGGCAUCAAUUAAUAUUGAAAACUUCGGUGGAUAAAGAUAGGCACGCACAAGAUUAGCUAGUUGGUACGGUAACGGCGUACCAAGGCGACGAUCUUUAGGGGGCCUGAGAGGGUGAUCCCCCACACUGGUACUGAGACACGGACCAGACUCCUACGGGAGGCAGCAGUGAGGAAUAUUGGACAAUGGGUGAGAGCCUGAUCCAGCCAUCCCGCGUGAAGUGACGACGGACCUAUGGUUUGUAAACUUCUUUUAUAUAGGAAUAAACCUACCCUCGUGAGGGUAGCUGAAUGUACUAUACGAAUAAGCACCGGCUAACUCCGUGCCAGCAGCCGCGGUAAUACGGAGGGUGCAGGCGUUAUCCGGAUUUAUUGGGUUUAAAGGGUCCGUAGGCGGGCUAAUAAGUCAGUAGUGAAAUCUUGUCGCUUAACGAUGGAACUGCUAUUGAUACUGUUAGUCUUGAGUGUAUUUGAAGUAGCUGGAAUGAGUAGUGUAGCGGUGAAAUGCAUAGAUAUUACUCAGAACACCAAUUGCGAAGGCAGGUUACUAAGAUACAACUGACGCUGAUGGACGAAAGCGUGGGGAGCGAACAGGAUUAGAUACCCUGGUAGUCCACGCCGUAAACGAUGCUUACCCGUUUUCGGGUCGAUAAGAUUCGGAGACCAAGCGAAAGUGAUAAGUAAGCCACCUGGGGGAGUACGCUCGCAAGAGUGAAACUCAAAGGAAUUGACGGGGGCCCGCACAAGCGGUGGAUUAUGUGGUUUAAUUCGAUGAUACGCGAGGAACCUUACCAAGACUUAAAUGUAUGUUGACAGGUUUAGAGAUAAACUUUUCUUCGGACAGCAUACAAGGUGCUGCAUGGUUGUCGUCAGCUCGUGCCGUGAGGUGUUAGGUUAAGUCCUGCAACGAGCGCAACCCCUAUCUUUAGUUGCUAACAUUAAGUUGAGGACUCUAGAGAGACUGCCUACGCAAGUAGAGAGGAAGGUGGGGAUGAUGUCAAAUCAUCACGGCCCUUAUGUCUUGGGCUACACACGUAAUACAAUGGUAGGUACAGAGGGCAGCUACACUGCGAAGUGAUGCAAAUCUCGAAAGCCUAUCUCAGUUCGGAUUGGAGUCUGCAACUCGACUCUAUGAAGCUGGAAUCGCUAGUAAUCGCGCAUCAGCCAUGGCGCGGUGAAUACGUUCCCGGGCCU
This 1356-nucleotide ribosomal RNA is filed under the name uncultured bacterium. RNAcentral's name for it is "bacterial SSU rRNA". It matches the Rfam family "Bacterial small subunit ribosomal RNA", at positions 28 to 1381 of the family's 1533-position model. The record is from RNAcentral.